GCUUUGAAUGGAUGGAUUAGCAGGGGAGCAGAUCCAUGGAUAUGGACGGAAGCCAACAUAUAUACUAUUUUAAAAAGAGAAAAAUACUAAUAUUCUUUUGAAGAAAAAUAAUCGUUCUUU
RNAcentral lists this non-coding RNA (120 nucleotides) under Sorghum bicolor (sorghum). Lineage: Eukaryota; Viridiplantae; Streptophyta; Magnoliopsida; Poales; Poaceae. The record is from RNAcentral.